Molecule: ribosomal RNA, 2927 nt
Filed under: Salmonella enterica subsp. enterica serovar Pomona str. ATCC 10729
Lineage: Bacteria; Pseudomonadati; Pseudomonadota; Gammaproteobacteria; Enterobacterales; Enterobacteriaceae
Description: bacterial LSU rRNA
Rfam family: Bacterial large subunit ribosomal RNA
Source: RNAcentral
GGGUUGUGAGGUUAAGCGACUAAGCGUACACGGUGGAUGCCCUGGCAGUCAGAGGCGAUGAAGGACGUGCUAAUCUGCGAUAAGCGCCGGUAAGGUGAUAUGAACCGUUAUAACCGGCGAUUUCCGAAUGGGGAAACCCAGUGUGACUCGUCACACUAUCAUUAACUGAAUCCAUAGGUUAAUGAGGCGAACCGGGGGAACUGAAACAUCUAAGUACCCCGAGGAAAAGAAAUCAACCGAGAUUCCCCCAGUAGCGGCGAGCGAACGGGGAGGAGCCCAGAGCCUGAAUCAGCAUGUGUGUUAGUGGAAGCGUCUGGAAAGGCGCGCGAUACAGGGUGACAGCCCCGUACACAAAAGCGCAUGUGCUGUGAGCUCGAUGAGUAGGGCGGGACACGUGGUAUCCUGUCUGAAUAUGGGGGGACCAUCCUCCAAGGCUAAAUACUCCUGACUGACCGAUAGUGAACCAGUACCGUGAGGGAAAGGCGAAAAGAACCCCGGCGAGGGGAGUGAAAAAGAACCUGAAACCGUGUACGUACAAGCAGUGGGAGCACCCUUUGGGGUGUGACUGCGUACCUUUUGUAUAAUGGGUCAGCGACUUAUAUUCUGUAGCAAGGUUAACCGAAUAGGGGAGCCGGAGGGAAACCGAGUCUUAACCGGGCGUUAAGUUGCAGGGUAUAGACCCGAAACCCGGUGAUCUAGCCAUGGGCAGGUUGAAGGUUGGGUAACACUAACUGGAGGACCGAACCGACUAAUGUUGAAAAAUUAGCGGAUGACCUGUGGCUGGGGGUGAAAGGCCAAUCAAACCGGGAGAUAGCUGGUUCUCCCCGAAAGCUAUUUAGGUAGCGCCUCGUGAAUUCAUCUCCGGGGGUAGAGCACUGUUUCGGCUAGGGGGCCAUCCCGGCUUACCAACCCGAUGCAAACUGCGAAUACCGGAGAAUGUUAUCACGGGAGACACACGGCGGGUGCUAACGUCCGUCGUGAAGAGGGAAACAACCCAGACCGCCAGCUAAGGUCCCAAAGUCAUGGUUAAGUGGGAAACGAUGUGGGAAGGCCCAGACAGCCAGGAUGUUGGCUUAGAAGCAGCCAUCAUUUAAAGAAAGCGUAAUAGCUCACUGGUCGAGUCGGCCUGCGCGGAAGAUGUAACGGGGCUAAACCAUGCACCGAAGCUGCGGCAGCGACACUCAGGUGUCGUUGGGUAGGGGAGCGUUCUGUAAGCCUGCGAAGGUGGCCUGUGAGGGUUGCUGGAGGUAUCAGAAGUGCGAAUGCUGACAUAAGUAACGAUAAAGCGGGUGAAAAGCCCGCUCGCCGGAAGACCAAGGGUUCCUGUCCAACGUUAAUCGGGGCAGGGUGAGUCGACCCCUAAGGCGAGGCCGAAAGGCGUAGUCGAUGGGAAACGGGUUAAUAUUCCCGUACUUGGUGUUACUGCGAAGGGGGGACGGAGAAGGCUAUGUUGGCCGGGCGACGGUUGUCCCGGUUUAAGCGUGUAGGUGUGUGUUCCAGGUAAAUCCGGUUCACUUUAACACUGAGGCGUGACGACGAGGCACUACGGUGCUGAAGCAACAAAUGCCCUGCUUCCAGGAAAAGCCUCUAAGCAUCAGGUAACAUCAAAUCGUACCCCAAACCGACACAGGUGGUCAGGUAGAGAAUACCAAGGCGCUUGAGAGAACUCGGGUGAAGGAACUAGGCAAAAUGGUGCCGUAACUUCGGGAGAAGGCACGCUGACACGUAGGUGAAGUGAUUUACUCAUGGAGCUGAAGUCAGUCGAAGAUACCAGCUGGCUGCAACUGUUUAUUAAAAACACAGCACUGUGCAAACACGAAAGUGGACGUAUACGGUGUGACGCCUGCCCGGUGCCGGAAGGUUAAUUGAUGGGGUCAGCGCAAGCGAAGCUCCUGAUCGAAGCCCCGGUAAACGGCGGCCGUAACUAUAACGGUCCUAAGGUAGCGAAAUUCCUUGUCGGGUAAGUUCCGACCUGCACGAAUGGCGUAAUGAUGGCCAGGCUGUCUCCACCCGAGACUCAGUGAAAUUGAACUCGCUGUGAAGAUGCAGUGUACCCGCGGCAAGACGGAAAGACCCCGUGAACCUUUACUAUAGCUUGACACUGAACAUUGAGCCUUGAUGUGUAGGAUAGGUGGGAGGCUUUGAAGUGUGGACGCCAGUCUGCAUGGAGCCGGCCUUGAAAUACCACCCUUUAAUGUUUGAUGUUCUAACGUGGACCCGUGAUCCGGGUUGCGGACAGUGUCUGGUGGGUAGUUUGACUGGGGCGGUCUCCUCCUAAAGAGUAACGGAGGAGCACGAAGGUUGGCUAAUCCUGGUCGGACAUCAGGAGGUUAGUGCAAUGGCAUAAGCCAGCUUGACUGCGAGCGUGACGGCGCGAGCAGGUGCGAAAGCAGGUCAUAGUGAUCCGGUGGUUCUGAAUGGAAGGGCCAUCGCUCAACGGAUAAAAGGUACUCCGGGGAUAACAGGCUGAUACCGCCCAAGAGUUCAUAUCGACGGCGGUGUUUGGCACCUCGAUGUCGGCUCAUCACAUCCUGGGGCUGAAGUAGGUCCCAAGGGUAUGGCUGUUCGCCAUUUAAAGUGGUACGCGAGCUGGGUUUAGAACGUCGUGAGACAGUUCGGUCCCUAUCUGCCGUGGGCGCUGGAGAACUGAGGGGGGCUGCUCCUAGUACGAGAGGACCGGAGUGGACGCAUCACUGGUGUUCGGGUUGUCAUGCCAAUGGCACUGCCCGGUAGCUAAAUGCGGAAGAGAUAAGUGCUGAAAGCAUCUAAGCACGAAACUUGCCCCGAGAUGAGUUCUCCCUGAGACUUAGAGUCUCCUGAAGGAACGUUGAAGACGACAACGUUGAUAGGCCGGGUGUGUAAGCGCAGCGAUGCGUUGAGCUAACCGGUACUAAUGAACCGUGAGGCUUAACCUUACAACGCCGAAG